CUGUGGGUCAGGAAUCAAGGAAAAGAUUUGUUGGAUGCCUUUGCCUUAAUGUCUCUUCAAGGCUGCAGUCAAGGUGUUGGCUGGGGCUGCAGUUUCAUCUGAAGACUCAACUGGGAAAGGAUCUGUUGUCAAGCUCAUUUGUAUGGUUAAUUGUAAAUUUAUGAAAUAGCACAAAGCCAAGUUGAAGACAAUAUCUUCCCUAAUAACAGUAGUGCAAUGACAGCCAGCCAGAAAAGCUCUCCACCUUGGCAGCAAUGAGACUAAGACUUUUAUGCCUGAAUUGCUAUCUUUUUUUUCCAGAGUAAAGAGGGAGUACAUGAAAAAAGAAACCAGGAUUUGCCUUAAAGAUCUCUAUGAAAAAAAAGUAAUCAUUUAAAA
Molecule: long non-coding RNA, 378 nt
Organism: Nomascus leucogenys (northern white-cheeked gibbon)
Lineage: Eukaryota; Metazoa; Chordata; Mammalia; Primates; Hylobatidae
Exons: 3
Source: RefSeq, a predicted model, not a curated record